AAAACUUGGGCGUUAAUAGAUAUGUGACUAAAUGAUAU
This 38-nucleotide non-coding RNA is filed under the name Trypanosoma brucei brucei. Lineage: Eukaryota; Euglenozoa; Kinetoplastea; Trypanosomatida; Trypanosomatidae. The record is from RNAcentral.